CAAUAUAAUAUCAAAUAUUGGACCAUUUCUGAUCUACAGAUAUGUCAGUGUCAUAUGAAUCAACUUAAUGCAUAUGCUUCCUAUAUGCUUUCCAUAUUGAUUUUAUUUCCCUCUUUAAAAUUUUUGUUACUUUAUUCUUUUUUUUUGCUCUUUUUUUUUUAAUUGAUUUUGUAAAAAUAUUACAUUAAAAAAAUAUGAGGUCCCAUUCAACCCUACCACCCCCACCCCAUGUUAUUACAUUACAUCUUUAGAGCAGAACAAAACUUAUUUUUAAUCUGACCACCAGGGGGAAGACUUCACCCAGAAAUGCCUUGUAAUUCACAGCAACUUCAAAUUGAUAGGGCUUGGCAGACUACAGAGAGGAUGUGGACAUCGGUUUUCAUCUUUCCACUGGACACUUUAUUGAUGAACUAUGCUGGUCUCUGCAGUAUUCCAUUAAACUCGGGAGAAACAUUUUAACUGAGAUGAUGUCUACAUUAGAGCUGCCUUUCACCCUUCAGCACGCAACCCGGG
RNAcentral lists this long non-coding RNA (513 nucleotides) under Dasypus novemcinctus (nine-banded armadillo). RNAcentral's name for it is "lncRNA (ENSDNOG00000051815.1)". The record is from RNAcentral. Lineage: Eukaryota; Metazoa; Chordata; Mammalia; Cingulata; Dasypodidae.